GACGAACGCUGGCGGCGUGCUUAACACAUGCAAGUCGAACGGAAAGGCCCUGCUUUUGUGGGGUGCUCGAGUGGCGAACGGGUGAGUAACACGUGAGUAACCUGCCCUUGACUUUGGGAUAACUUCAGGAAACUGGGGCUAAUACCGGAUAGGAGCUCCUGCUGCAUGGUGGGGGUUGGAAAGUUUCGGCGGUUGGGGAUGGACUCGCGGCUUAUCAGCUUGUUGGUGGGGUAGUGGCUUACCAAGGCUUUGACGGGUAGCCGGCCUGAGAGGGUGACCGGCCACAAUGGGACUGGGAUACGGCCCAGGCUUCUACGGGAGGCAGCAGUGGGGAAUAUUGCACAAUGGGCGGAAGCCUGAUGCAGCAACGCCGCGUGCGGGAUGACGGCCUUCGGGUUGUAAACCGCUUUCGCCUGUGACGAAGCGUGAGUGACGGUAAUGGGUAAAGAAGCACCGGCUAACUACGUG
Molecule: ribosomal RNA, 468 nt
Filed under: uncultured bacterium
Lineage: Bacteria
Description: partial 16S ribosomal RNA
Rfam family: Bacterial small subunit ribosomal RNA
Source: RNAcentral